RNAcentral lists this long non-coding RNA (1076 nucleotides) under Musa acuminata (dwarf banana). Its description in RNAcentral is "long non-coding RNA (MACU_LNC001681)". The record is from RNAcentral. Lineage: Eukaryota; Viridiplantae; Streptophyta; Magnoliopsida; Zingiberales; Musaceae.
UUUGCUUUCAGACGAAGGUCCAGAGCACAGCCCACUGGUUCUCCUUUGCCUCUUCUACUCUUCUUCUAUCCUCUCCUUGAUUUGGUCUUCCCUGGAAGUCAUAGCAUAUUCUUGUGUUUCUUCAGCUUCCUUGUUAGGUUUGCAGAACCGGUUGCAGCUUAUCAGGUUCCAGGGAUAAAGAAGGUGAUACCUCUUCAUUUGGUAUCAUCUUGGAGAGGUCUGAGCACAGGACAGGAGAGGAGAAUGUAGGAAUGUUCUUCUUGAUGUUCUUUUUGUCAUAUACUUUUUUUCUUUUGUCUGGGGAUGUCAAGUGAUGUUGUGAUUGUGCUGGCAGGAGAAAAAUUAAGAUAGCAGCUACUGUUUCUCUCAUCAAUGGAGACCACUUCUCCAUCUAAUUCUGGUGAUGCCUAACCAGCAGUUGUGAUCAGACUUCGAUGAGCUCUCAGUGGAAUAAAGCCUCUAGGUCUUCUAGAUAGCUUCGAUGUGCUCUUUCUGCCUCAUAAUUACAUUUAUAAGAUAAGUCAUUUAAUUUCCAUGUGAAUGAAACUUCUGUAUCAGUCUUGCUGCUUAUCUUAUAUUUACUUAAGUCAGUCCUAAUAUCCAUUGCUGAUGAGGAUACUAUUUGCUUGUUGUCUCAAGAAUAUUACAGGAUAGAAAGCCACUUUAUGUAAGUUCUGGAAUCAAAUAUCUAAGUAGAAUGUGAAAUUACUAACAAAUUAUCUGACUUCAUGAAAUAGGGCCUUAAGACCUUGAAAAUGUUCUGAUCUUGCAUCAUUACCGUUAAACUGAUCAUAAUUUUUCUAUUAAUCAACUGGUUUCAUUUGUUUUUUAUUUCACUUGUUUCUUCCUAAGAGCAUGCUCUGUAUCUCCUUGAAAAAUCCAUACUCCAAUGCUUGCAGUAAUGCAUUGGAUAUUUUGAUGACAGCGUUUGGUUUAAAAACUGUUUUCAGUUAUUUUAUCCAAUUUGCCUUUUCAUGCUACGGAAGAAAAGCACAAUUUUAUAUGUCCAGAAGAUGGCAGGGAACAUGCAUCACAAUAUACUUUGACCUCUUCAAUUGUAUAUCUUUCUGGCANNN